UGGACUAGCUGAAUUUGCUGCAGCUAGUGAGAGCUUGACAGUUGCCAGGCCACCUGAAGUUUCAGCGGCUGAUGGUGCAGGCUUACCUGUUGCUGGUCUCACAGCUCACCAGGCUCUCACCCAAGCUGCAGGGGUCAAGCUUGACGGAUCUGGCCAGCAAAAGAACAUAUUGAUUACUGCUGCCUCUGGUGGUGUGGGUCAGUAUGCAGUCCAACUAGCAAAGCUCGGAAACACUCAUGUUACAGCCACGUGCAGUGCUCGUAACAUCGAAUUUGUCAAGAGCUUGGGGGCAGAUGAGGUUCUCGACUACAAGACCCCAGAAGGAGCAGCUCUGAAUAGUCCAUCUGGUAGGAAAUAUGAUGCUGUGGUCCAUUGUGCUACGGGCAUUCCCUGGUCAACUUUCGAGCCUAAUUUGAGCGCCAACGGGAAGGUUAUAGACCUUACUCCUAGUCCAAGUGCCUUUGCUACUUUUGCUCUGAAGAAACUCACCUUCUCCAAGAAGCAGCUGGUGCCACUGUUCAUGAGUGCCAAGAGUGAGAACCUUGAUUAUCUUGUCAAGUUAGUGAAGGAAGGAAAGCUCAAGACUGUGAUCGACUCGAAGCAUCCUCUGAGCAAGGCUGAAGAUGGUUGGGCUAAGAGUAUUGAUGGACAUGCAACUGGGAAGAUAAUUGUGGAGCCUUAAGUAGACAAACGAAAACUAUAGUGGGAUAUAAACCUCACGUACUUGAUGGAAGUUGUUUGAUACAGAUAGUUAUGUCAUGUGUAAUAUAAAAUUAUAUAAUAAUGUGGGGUUUUAUAAUCCUGAAUCAAUAUUGUAAAUAUUGAGGUUUGGAUUAUAUAUUGUUCAUUUUCAUGUUGAUUAUAUUUCACAGUAAAUUCAUAUAGUUCUCUCAAAAACGAAUUUACUCGGUUAUCAAACCAGUAAUAUGGGUUUAGACUCUAGAGAGAGAUGACGAUGGUUGAUAUAAUCAAAUGAAAUAUAAAUAUAUAAAAAAUAGAAAGCCGAAGCAUCAUGAAUCAUGAACAAUUCUACUCUGUUUUACUAUAGACGUGGGCUAAUUACGCACUAGCAACAACGCAAGCUUACUUCAUAAAAUCUGAGACGAGUUUCAAGUUCUGUCGAUUCUUCUGAACAAAACUGAGGGAAGCCUAGGGUGGCAACAAAAAAAAAAAACUGAGGGAGGCUAUGGCGAAAAAUGUUAUGCAUGCAGGCUGUGGUGGUGGACGACCUUCUGGCUUAGAGGUUAUUCAAAUUACAUUUCUUCAAUUUCUAAAUAAAAGUUUCCCUCUGUCAAAUUAGUUUCCUUUUGUUUCUCUUGAAUUAUACUCUCUGUUUGUCCUUGAAGAAAAACCCUUUUACAUUACACGAUCAACUUGUCCACUAUAAACCCCAUGAAAAUUAAAUCACAUGGUGCCUAAUGGAUCUUUUUUCAAGUACUUGUUUGAGUAAAUCAAAAUUUGAAAUGUUGUGAAGGAAAAGAUAAAGGGAGUCUUUUCUGAGUUUUCUUCUUUCCUUUUGCUAAUGUUUUUAUGUUGGGAGAAGGGAUACGGGUUGAGAAAAACUUGCAUGUCACGUGAUAGCACAUAUUAAGCGUGGCAUAACGUGAUUGAUUGGGGAUAGCAAAACAGUGCUAUCCCCAUGACAUGCAAAUUCUUCUUUCUUCUCGUAAGGGUGUGGUGGAGGUUGUGGUUGAGAAUGACCAAGACUAGCUUUUGUACUUGGAAAGGAAACAUACAAUUUGUUUAUGCAUUGAAGAACAUAUUAUUGUUAAGUCAUUGGCCCUUAAUCAAUUUUGGUGCUAAUUGCAGCAUGUUGAAAUUCCAAUUCCAAAUUCAUACAAAGAUCAAGGGAGAGGUGUUGCUGAAAUUGGAGGUGGCUAGUCUAAAGUCAACCCCAUUUGAUUGGAAUGGAAAGUUUGAGAAAGGUAUGCCGUGGACUUUGUUGCCUCCCACCAAUUUUCACACGUACCUCAUGUGACAGCCACUCGCACUUUUGUGGAGCUCGUAGCCUUGACUUGGUCAAGACCUCAGAAGGAGCAAGCAGCUCUACAAGAGAAGAGUCCAUCUCCAUUUGGUCCAAAAUAUGAUGCUGUGAUGUGAUCCAUUAGGCAUUCCUCUGUCAACUUUUCAGCCUAAUUUGAGUGCCACUGGUAUGAUGCUGCUGUGAUUCUAAUGCGAACUCAUGAGUAGAACUUGCCUCUAAAAACCGAAUUGUAAAAGUUUGGUUCAACUCGGCAAUCAGAAUUUUCCAAAUUUUUUUUUUAAAGUUCGAUUCAAUUUUCGGCCAACACAUUGUGAAAAUCAAAACUUUUUGAAAGAAAGCACAACCUAUAGCACUUUUCAAAGAAAGCACAGCCUAUAUAUACGUCAAAACCAUUCCACAAGAAUGUAGUAACACGUCCUCUCUCUCUCUCUCUCUCUCUCUCUCGUAAAAUCUAGGAUCUUUCCUUUCUCGUCUGUCUCUGCUGACUCAGGGUAUGACAUUGGCAGCCAUGGCGACAAAGCUUAUGCGUGCGGUUCAGUACAACAGCUAUGGUGGAGGAGCUUCUGGUUUAAAGGUUCCUUCUUUAUCUACUUGUUUCUUCUAUCAAUGUUAUUUGGUAUAAUUCUCUCAUAUUUCAUUCCCUGCUGUGAUUUUUGCUUCUGACAUUUUGUUAACCGCUUAAUAUUCUCUGGUGCGUAAAAAAAAGAAAAAAAAAUGCAUCAACUUUUAGAGUGGUGGGAGAGUUCAGGCUUAAAACUGAGUGCAUCCUAAAUAUGUUUGGCCUUGAAAUCCCAAAGGGAAAAAAGAGAAACUGAACAACCAGUGAGAAAAUGCUUCAGGGUUGUGUUGAAUGUUUACUUGCUUGUGCCUCUUCUUUGCUUUUCAAAAGCAAUAAAUCCAUGGACGAAAUCAUACAAGUGUAAAAAGACCUUAAUAAAUUGUUUUAAAUAUAUUUUAUGUUUGGUGCAGCAUGUAGAGGUUCCAGUGCCCACUCCAAAGAAAGGUGAGAUCUUGCUGAAAUUGGAAGCAGCUACUAUGAACCCGGUUGAUUGGAGAAUUCAGAAAGGCAAGAUGCGGCCUUUUUUUCCACCCAAAUUCCCUCAUAUACCUGGUAAGUUCUGUUUUGCCUGGUUUUCCCCUAAACCCCUUCUUAUAUUCAUAUCAUUCAAUUGGUAGCAUAUAAGCUGCAACAUACUGAUCAACAAACUGCCUGAUUUUUAUUAAUUACUACAUCAUUGGAACAUAAAGCAUACGCUCUGUGUCCCAAAAGAAUUUUCCUCUUUGAGGAAGUGAUCAUAAUGGUUACAGAUUAAUACAUCUUGACUCUCGAUAAAAUCUCUCAUUGAGACUUUUAUUCAUUUGUGGAAGUAUUGAGAGAGUUGAGGUAGAUAAAUUAGUUGGAUUCCGAAACAAAUUUGUGCUUCGACUUUUAAAAUGGGUGAACAUCAUUCCUAUGUUACGAGAAGAGUUUUGUGAUUUAUACAAGCAGUGUUUGUGAGUCUUAGGCUGGUAGGUUGGUUUGUUAACAGUGAUUGGCUAAUGAAAAUAUUGGGAACAGCUACUGAUGUUGCUGGAGAGGUUGUAGAAGUUGGAAAAGGGGUCCAAAAGUUCAAACCGGGCGACAAAGUUGUGGCAUAUCUCACCCUCGCUGUAAGCCUUCAUUGUAUUCCUUUGGUUAAUCUCUCCCUUUCUUGAAGAAUUUAUUGCACUUGGCAACAAGUUUCACUUAUAAAUUUCGUUUGUUUGUUAGAAUGGAGGUGGACUGGCUGAGUUUGUCACAGCUAGUGAGAGCUUGACAGUUGCCAGGCCACCUGAAGUUUCAGCAGCUCAAGGUGCAGGCUUACCUAUUGCUGGUCUCACAGCUCUCCAGGCUCUCACCCAAGCUGCAGGGCUUAAUCUCGACGGAAGUGGCCAGAAAAAGAACAUCUUGAUUACUGCUGCCUCUGGUGGUGUGGGUCAGUAUGCAGUCCAACUAGCAAAGCUCGGAAACACUCAUGUUACAGCCACAUGCGGUGCUCGUAACAUCGAAUUUAUCAAGAGCUUGGGGGCAGAUGAGGUUCUUGACUACAAGACCCCAGAAGGAGCAGCUCUGAUUAGCCCAUCUGGUAGGAAAUAUGACAUCGCUGUCCAUUGUGCAAUAACGGGCAUUCCCUGGUCAACUUUCAAGCCUAAUUUGAGCGCCAACGGGAAGGUUAUAAACAUUACUCCUGGUCCAAGUACCUGGGCUGCUAUUGCUCAGAACACACUCAC
This 4234-nucleotide long non-coding RNA is filed under the name Prunus persica (peach). RNAcentral describes it as "long non-coding RNA (PPER_LNC008444)". Lineage: Eukaryota; Viridiplantae; Streptophyta; Magnoliopsida; Rosales; Rosaceae. The record is from RNAcentral.